AAGUGCAAUUUUGCAGAAUAAGUUUACGAGUUCAUUCUCUUCUUUUUCUGGUUCUUUUUCCUGCUGCGUUUUGCAAAAUGAUUUCCUGAAAUUUCAACUUCUUUUCCCCUGGAAGUUCUUUCAAUAGGUAGAUGUUGAGCUCAUAAACUAUAUAUUUGUGUUCAUUGUUGAAAAUCUAUGAAUAUCAUUGGUAAUUACUCAAAACAAUACUGCAAAUUUUUUUAUUUAAUAUCUUGUUGAAAAGAGUUUGUUUUCCCCUAUCCUUGGAGAGUUUGUGGUUCUUCCAAAUAGUUAUUGUUUCCAUGGCGAUUAUGUUGAUGAACUCAGUAACCCAAAUAGCUGAUUUAUUCUUUGUUUCUGGUUGCUUUUACAACAAAAAGUUUUCCACCCAACAUCAAUAGCAAUGGAAGCAUUUGCCUUGAUAUUCUUAAAGGUACAAUCAUACUACAUGUGCCUCAUUCUGUACAUGUUGGUUUGUAUUCUUCCUCAUGGAACUAUCUUCCUUUGAUUUUCCCAGCAAUCUUUCACAUCACUGCCCAUACUGUGCUACAUAGCAGGAAUGUCAUCCAUGGUGCAUGGGAAAAUGUACAUCUAGCAUUAUUGAUCUAAGGUAAUUAAUUUUUUUUUCAUUAUAAUAAUGAGAUGACAUCAUUUAAUGAAUUGUGGCUACACACGUUCAAACUUGGACUAAAUUAAUUUCAACAUAUGGGUUUCCACACAUAUCAUACAUUAUUGUCUGUGUUCGCGUUGCCAUUUAUGACUGGUUCCACAUUCUUAUGCAUUGGCUUCAUCAUUUAGCUAUGUAACAGAUUACAAUGUAUGCUCGGGAUUCAUUUAGUUCUUGUUUGGUCAAUAGACUAACUUGGUUCGGAAGACAAGAAAAAUAAAUCAGGGAUUUGGCUUGGGUUUUAGGUGAUUUUAAAAUUGGUAAUCAAAGUAAACUUAUUUUAUUACUUAGUUAUGGGAAAAAAUUGUUGGGUUGAAGUCACCAAAGUAAACAGCCGAUCCAAUAUGAUGACCAUAAUUACAACACAUUAAAAAAAAAAAUCUUUUAAUAUGCUGAGGAAUAUCCCUAUCAACAAUUAUCUAGGAAAUAGGGACAUUCCAUAUAUAGAAAUAAACUCCCGAAUAUGAUCUUCUCUUACUUUUCUUUAAACCAUUUUCCAAGUUGCAUGCACAUGUUGGAUUGCCAUUAUCGUAUACGAUAGAUCUUCACAUUUCAUAUGCCAAUAUUAUCGAGUUUAGAUUCUCAAAAUUUAAACUCUCUCUCCAGAUAUACUAUUAUUACCCUUUGACUGCUCCUUUGGACCUUACUAAGGUUUACAAUAACAUCCAAUGGAAUAGCACAAAGGCCCAACACGUUGACACAAUAAUUCGUAUAAGACAUGACUGGGUAAGUUCCUCAUUUUAAUUCCAUUAUGUCUUCUCAUUUCUUCAUGCACCUUAAAUGCUUCAUCUCUAUUUUUCAAAGAGUAAAAUCAUAUGUAAAUUGACCGCAUUAAAUUAUGUUCAUUUUCCUUACCUCAUUGAAUACUAAUUAUACCUUCAAAAUAACUCCGCCCGUGCACUGCACGGGCAACAAACUAGUUUAUACAUAAAAUUCAUGCAUGUAACACAAACCAACCCUUCCCCCCCCCUCCCUUCCCCUCAAACGCAUAAUUUAAUUCAUUUUUAAAUAUGUAGUGAUAUCUAUUAUUUAACAAGAGCACGUGCCCAUUUAUUUAUAUUAUAAGAUAUAACAUGAAUCACCAAAAUCAUUUCAAAAUAAAUUUAGUACCUUCCAAGAGCGUAAAUCAGAAGUGGGUGGAAAGAAAUUUGUUAUAUAUUUUCUUCGUGUGUUGAAAUAUUCUUGCAAUUACAAGAAACACGGAAAUCAUUUUUAGUAAAGGAAUGCCUAAGGUUUCUUUCUAAUUUUAGGUCCUUUAUUUAAUGAUAAGAUUGCACUAAUUAAUUAAUUAUCGAAUUCAUUGGAGUCAAAAUUGUGCUAAUUACCAAAUUCAUUACAUUGAAUAUUGGGCUGAUUCCAUUCUUCUUUACUGUCCAAAUACAAAUUCAAUCAAACGAAAAAUAUAUAAAUGUUAAGAUCAAGCCUAUGUUUAAUUUAUUUAAUAACAAAUUAUAACAUCAUAAGCUUAUUAUAAAAUAUCAUAUCAUGUGUUAUAUGUUCAAUUGAAUUGCAUUAUAAUUAACUUUAAUUGGCACGUCGAUCAUAAGGCGUCCAAGGUACACUCCAUUACAAAACAUGGUUAUUCACAAAGACAAUAAAUUUACAUUUCGCAUCAUACAUAUAUGUAAAUUGAA
Molecule: long non-coding RNA, 2301 nt
Filed under: Olea europaea (common olive)
Lineage: Eukaryota; Viridiplantae; Streptophyta; Magnoliopsida; Lamiales; Oleaceae
Description: long non-coding RNA (OEUR_LNC015612)
Source: RNAcentral